AAUAGAAUAACCCCGGGUAGUCCACGCCGUAAACGAUGAGUGCUAAGUGUUAAGAGGGUUUCCGCCCUUUAGUGCUGCAGCUAACGCAUUAAGCACUCCGCCUGGGGAGUACGGCCGCAAGGCUGAAACUCAAAGGAAUUGACGGGGGGCCCGCACAAGCGGUGGAGCAUGUGGUUUAAUUCGAAGUAACGCGAAGAACCUUACCAGGUCUUGACAUCCUCUGCCAACCCUAGAGAUAGGGCGUUCCCCUUCGGGGGACAGAGUGACAGGUGGUGCAUGGUUGUCGUCAGCUCGUGUCGUGAGAUGUUGGGUUAAGUCCCGCAACGAGCGCAACCCUUGAUCUUAGUUGCCAGCAUUCAGUUGGGCGCUCUAAGGUGACUGCCGGUGACAAACCGGAGGAAGGUGGGGAUGACGUCAAAUCAUCAUGCCCCUUAUGACCUGGGCUACACACGUGCUACAAUAGAUGGUACAAAGAGCUGCGAAUCCGCGAGGGUAAGCGAAUCUCAUAAAGCCAUUCUCGAGUUCGGAUUGUAGG
This 535-nucleotide ribosomal RNA is filed under the name uncultured bacterium. RNAcentral's name for it is "bacterial SSU rRNA". It matches the Rfam family "Bacterial small subunit ribosomal RNA", at positions 777 to 1304 of the family's 1533-position model. The record is from RNAcentral.